CUGCCUGAAUAAAGGUUUGUACUUAGCGAAACGCUGGACCAGCUUUCUCGUCCGUGCUUCCCGUGUCGCCUGCCCGCCACCGCUGAGCUGAAAUCACUCGAGACCGUCUGAAGCUGCUCACACGCGCUUCGGCCCAGUCCUUUUCAGGGCUGCCUCUAGAGAAGUCGCGGUGCUCCGGGCUUUCCGUCGCUGCGGCAACUGGACACGGAGCAUUGCUUCAAGGAGGUGCCGAGGGACAAACCUUUGUGUCUGGAAGCAGCAUCUGAGCAGGGUCAAAUACGAGUGGCAAAUCAACGUUGGCAGGGAUCUGCCGGAGGAGAGGAGUUUCUGGUGGGCUCCCAGUGGCAUCUGAUGGAGUGAUGGUGAGAGCAUCUCAUAGGGUCUGGGGGAGCACCUGGAUGCACUUGGACCCGGAGCACCGCUUAAAGGAGGUGUCCCUCCCCGGUGCCCUCAAUCUGUCACAAGAAUUCCAAGAAAAAAAAAGGCUGAGCAAACAGUGAAAAGAAGGGGUAUAGGUAAGGUGGAGUUCAGGUGUACCCCACCCCAAACCCUAAACAGCAGCCCUAACAGUGCCACCAUUUCCCUGAGGCAGCUGCAGGCAGGAACCCUAAAGCAGGAGAGUUCCAGAACCCUCGAGAGCUGCAGGCAGUUCCCUGGUGCUAGGGCCAGCCAGGAGAUAGUGGGGGGACGAUCCGUAGGGUUGGGGAAACAGGGGGUUUCCCGCCCCGCCCCACCCUGGGCUCUCGGUCCCUCCGCAGCCGGGGAUUGCUCCCACCCCUCCUCGAGGCGGCGGUUGGCAGGGCUUCGUGCCUGGCCUCCGCAAAGAGUUCGGCUCUGUCAGCCUCUGCCCUGUCUCAGGGCCAAACUUAGGUAGGGUAGGGAGCAACUGUGGAUUGCCUGGUCCGGGCUAAUGGACAUCUCUUGGGGCCUAUGGAUAAGGAGCAUCCCCGGUUGCAAGUGUAGGGUUCUAACUAAGUUUGUAGGGUUCAGCGGGGGAGCUUGGCAGUGACACAGAGAGGUUGAGGGAGGGCUUCAGAGGUCGAGGGCUGGAGACAAACAGUGAAAAUAAAAGGGGUACAGGUUGGGAUAUAAGGUAGAGUACAGGACUAUUCAAACCCUAAACAGCAGCCCUAACAGCGCUCCCGUUUCCCUGAGACAGCUGCAGGCAGGAACCCUAAAGCAGCAGAGUGCCAGAACCCCCGAGAGCUGCAGGCAGUACCCCUGGUGCUAGGGCCAGCCAGGAAGAGAUAGUGGGUGCUAGGGCCUACUGCUGUCAUAUAAGCUGGGGUUUCCAUCCUUGGGGUACCCUGGGCUCCCUGUCCCUCACUGACUGGAGAGUCUUCCUCCCCUCCUUGAGGUGGUGGUAAUUUGGCUGUGUCAGCCAAUAGUGCUGUGAAGCAAGCCUCUGCCUCCCUGUGGGGUGAAGUCUGCAGCCCAUGAACCUGGGCAUUCUCUAGAGAAGGUAAGUGCUGGGUUUUCACAGAUGUGCCGCUAAGAUCCUGCAUUGAUAUUUGGUCUUCUAGAUUGUAGCUGA
This is a long non-coding RNA of Poecile atricapillus (Black-capped chickadee), 1534 nucleotides long. RefSeq lists it as uncharacterized. The transcript has 3 exons. The record is from RefSeq and is a predicted model, not a curated record. Lineage: Eukaryota; Metazoa; Chordata; Aves; Passeriformes; Paridae.